Molecule: ribosomal RNA, 458 nt
Filed under: uncultured bacterium
Lineage: Bacteria
Description: partial 16S ribosomal RNA
Rfam family: Bacterial small subunit ribosomal RNA
Source: RNAcentral
CCUACGGGGGGCAGCAGUGAGGAAUAUUGGUCAAUGGGCGAUAGCCUGAACCAGCCAAGUCGCGUGAGGGAAGACGGCCCUAUGGGUUGUAAACCUCUUUUGUCGGGGAGCAAGGUCGCUACGUGUAGUGAUUUGAGAGUACCCGAAGAAAAAGCAUCGGCUAACUCCGUGCCAGCAGCCGCGGUAAUACGGAGGAUGCAAGCGUUAUCCGGAUUUAUUGGGUUUAAAGGGUGCGUAGGCGGGAGAUCAAGUCAGCGGUAAAAAUGCGGGGCCCAACCCCGUCGAGCCGUUGAAACUGGUUUUCUUGAGUGGGCGAGAGGUAUGCGGAAUGCGUGGUGUAGCGGUGAAAUGCAUAGAUAUCACGCAGAACCCCGAUUGCGAAGGCAGCAUACCGGCGCCCAACUGACGCUGAGGCACGAAAGCGUGGGUAUCGAACAGGAUUAGAUACCCCAGUAGUC